UCAAACCGGCGUAAGCCAGGUUGGUUUCUAUCCUUAAUUAAUUAAAAUAUUUUAGUACGAAAGGAUUAAAUAUUUAAAAUAAUUUUUAUAUAAAGAUUAAAAUUAAU
Molecule: ribosomal RNA, 107 nt
Filed under: Paramormia polyscoidea
Lineage: Eukaryota; Metazoa; Arthropoda; Insecta; Diptera; Psychodidae
Description: partial 16S ribosomal RNA
Source: RNAcentral